GACGAACGCUGGCGGCGUGCUUAACACAUGCAAGUCGAACGGAAAGGCCCUGCUUGCAGGGUACUCGAGUGGCGAACGGGUGAGUAACACGUGGGUGAUCUGCCCUGCACUUCGGGAUAAGCCUGGGAAACUGGGUCUAAUACCGGAUAGGAGCCAUUCUUAGUGUGAUGGUUGGAAAGUUUUUUCGGUGUAGGAUGAGCUCGCGGCCUAUCAGCUUGUUGGUGGGGUAAUGGCCUACCAAGGCGGCGACGGGUAGCCGGCCUGAGAGGGUGGACGGCCACAUUGGGACUGAGAUACGGCCCAGACUCCUACGGGAGGCAGCAGUGGGGAAUAUUGCACAAUGGGCGCAAGCCUGGUGCAGCGACGCCGCGGGGGGGAUGACGGCCUUCGGGUUGUAAACUCCUUUCGCUAGGGACGAAGCUUUUUGUGACGGUACCUAGAUAAGAAGCACCGGCUAACUACGUG
RNAcentral lists this ribosomal RNA (465 nucleotides) under uncultured bacterium. Its description in RNAcentral is "partial 16S ribosomal RNA". It matches the Rfam family "Bacterial small subunit ribosomal RNA", at positions 28 to 507 of the family's 1533-position model. The record is from RNAcentral.